GCGGGUGUAGUUCAGCGGUAGAACGUCAGCUUCCCAAGCUGAAUGUCGAGCGGCGCGGGUUCUCGGUGGCCGUGUACAACCGCA
RNAcentral lists this transfer RNA (84 nucleotides) under Anaerolineae bacterium. Its description in RNAcentral is "tRNA-Gly". It matches the Rfam family "tRNA". Rfam says of the family: Transfer RNA (tRNA) molecules are approximately 80 nucleotides in length. Their secondary structure includes four short double-helical elements and three loops (D, anti-codon, and T loops). The record is from RNAcentral. Lineage: Bacteria; Bacillati; Chloroflexota; Anaerolineae.